CCAGGAGCUGCGAUAGCAUCCUGUUUGUUUCUGGGUGCAAUUUAAGGUGGUGGUGAUUCUGAAUUAUCUCUAGGUUCUCAUAUGGCAGGCACCGUCAUUGGAGUAGCUGAGUGCCUCGAAAGGAGCCGUCACCUGGCAAGGGAUGAUUUCAAUCCAUCAACCUCUGGGCUACGGGGGCAAUACUCUUUGUUUAUACUCUCUCCUAUUCAUCCUUAAUGGCAUAUUUUCUACACUGUGUGCUGAGGGAGAAGCAACAACAAUAGCACCCAUUUUGCCAGAGUUGGAAGAAGUAGUGAUCUGUGCCUGGUAGUUCACUGCAAGAAGGCACAGCUUGAUGCUUUUGUGAAGUUCCAUAACUCCCUUCUCAAAGAAGAUGUAUUUAAAGUAAUCAUCCAUUUAUACCAUUUAUACCUGGCAGAUAACUGAAC
Long non-coding RNA from Mauremys reevesii (Reeves's turtle), 428 nucleotides. RefSeq lists it as uncharacterized. NCBI's taxonomy places the organism in Eukaryota, Metazoa, Chordata, Testudines, Geoemydidae. The transcript has 3 exons. The record is from RefSeq and is a predicted model, not a curated record.